RNAcentral lists this ribosomal RNA (1342 nucleotides) under uncultured bacterium. RNAcentral describes it as "16S ribosomal RNA". It matches the Rfam family "Bacterial small subunit ribosomal RNA", at positions 28 to 1378 of the family's 1533-position model. The record is from RNAcentral.
GACGAACGCUGGUUGCGUGCUUAACACAUGCAAGUCGAACGGAAAGGCCCUGCUUUUGUGGGGUGCUCGAGUGGCGAACGGGUGAGUAACACGUGAGUAACCUGCCCUUGACUUUGGGAUAACUUCAGGAAACUGGGGCUAAUACCGGAUAGGAGCUCCUGCUGCAUGGUGGGGGUUGGAAAGUUUCGGCGGUUGGGGAUGGACUCGCGGCUUAUCAGCUUGUUGGUGGGGUAGUGGCUUACCAAGGCUUUGACGGGUAGCCGGCCUGAGAGGGUGACCGGCCACAUUGGGACUGAGAUACGGCCCAGACUCCUACGGGAGGCAGCAGUGGGGAAUAUUGCACAAUGGGCGGAAGCCUGAUGCAGCAACGCCGCGUGCGGGAUGACGGCCUUCGGGUUGUAAACCGCUUUCGCCUGUGACGAAGCGUGAGUGACGGUAAUGGGUAAAGAAGCACCGGCUAACUAUGUGCCAGCAGCCGCGGUGAUACGUAGGGUGCGAGCGUUGUCCGGAUUUAUUGGGCGUAAAGGGCUCGUAGGUGGUUGAUCGCGUCGGAAGUGUAAUCUUGGGGCUUAACCCUGAGCGUGCUUUCGAUACGGGUUGACUUGAGGAAGGUAGGGGAGAAUGGAAUUCCUGGUGGAGCGGUGGAAUGCGCAGAUAUCAGGAGGAACACCAGUGGCGAAGGCGGUUCUCUGGGCCUUUCCUGACGCUGAGGAGCGAAGCGUGGGGAGCGAACAGGCUUAGAUACCCUGGUAGUCCACGCUGUAAACGGUGGGUACUAGGUGUGGGGUCCAUUCCACGGGUUCCGUGCCGUAGCUAACGCUUUAAGUACCCCGCCUGGGGAGUACGGCCGCAAGGCUAAAACUCAAAGGAAUUGACGGGGCCCCGCACAAGCGGCGGAGCAUGCGGAUUAAUUCGAUGCAACGCGUAGAACCUUACCUGGGUUUGACAUGGAUCGGGAGUGCUCAGAGAUGGGUGUGCCUCUUUUGGGGUCGGUUCACAGGUGGUGCAUGCCUGUCAUCAGCUCGUGUCGUGAGAUGUUGGGUUAAGUCCCGCAACGAGCGCAACCCUUGUUCACUGUUGCCAGCACGUUAUGGUGGGGACUCAGUGGAGACCGCCGGGGUCAACUCGGAGGAAGGUGGGGAUGACGUCAAGUCCUCAUGCCCCUUAUGUCCAGGGCUUCACGCAUGCUACAAUGGCUGGUACAGAGAGUGGCGAGCCUGUGAGGGUGAGCGAAUCUCGGAAAGCCGGUCUCAGUUCGGAUUGGGGUCUGCAACUCGACCUCAUGAAGUCGGAGUCGCUAGUAAUCGCAGAUCAGCAACGCUGCGGUGAAUACGUUCCCGGG